CAUUCACGGAGAGUUUGAUCCUGGCUCAGGACGAACGCUGGCGGCGUGCUUAACACAUGCAAGUCGAACGAUGAACCACUUCGGUGGGGAUUAGUGGCGAACGGGUGAGUAACACGUGGGCAAUCUGCCCUUCACUCUGGGACAAGCCCUGGAAACGGGGUCUAAUACCGGAUACCACUCUCGCGGGCAUCUGCGAGGGUUGAAAGCUCCGGCGGUGAAGGAUGAGCCCGCGGCCUAUCAGCUUGUUGGUGAGGUAAUGGCUCACCAAGGCGACGACGGGUAGCCGGCCUGAGAGGGCGACCGGCCACACUGGGACUGAGACACGGCCCAGACUCCUACGGGAGGCAGCAGUGGGGAAUAUUGCACAAUGGGCGAAAGCCUGAUGCAGCGACGCCGCGUGAGGGAUGACGGCCUUCGGGUUGUAAACCUCUUUCAGCAGGGAAGAAGCGAAAGUGACGGUACCUGCAGAAGAAGCGCCGGCUAACUACGUGCCAGCAGCCGCGGUAAUACGUAGGGCGCAAGCGUUGUCCGGAAUUAUUGGGCGUAAAGAGCUCGUAGGCGGCUUGUCACGUCGG
This 575-nucleotide ribosomal RNA is filed under the name Streptomyces sp. SA15. RNAcentral describes it as "bacterial SSU rRNA". It matches the Rfam family "Bacterial small subunit ribosomal RNA", at positions 1 to 591 of the family's 1533-position model. Lineage: Bacteria; Bacillati; Actinomycetota; Actinomycetes; Kitasatosporales; Streptomycetaceae. The record is from RNAcentral.